GCUUGUCUCAAAGAUUAAGCCAUGCAUGUCUAAGUACAAGCCUCAGUAAGGUGAAACCGCGAAUGGCUCAUUAAAUCACACCUAAUCUACUGGAAAGUUACUAGUUACUUGGAUAACUGAGGUAAUUCUUGAGCUAAUACAUGCGAAAAAUCUCGACUCACGGAGAGAUGCUUUUAUUAGAUCAAAACCAAACGGCUUCGGCCGUCUCAUUGGUGAUUCAUAAUAACUUUCGGAUCGAUUUAUCGAUGCAUCAUUCAAGUUUCUGCCCUAUCAGCUUUGGAUGGUAGGGUAUUGGCCUACCAUGGCUUUAACGGGUAACGGAGAAUUAGGGUUCGAUUCCGGAGAGGGAGCCUGAGAAAUGGCUACCACAUCCAAGGAAGGCAGCAGG
This 388-nucleotide ribosomal RNA is filed under the name uncultured fungus. RNAcentral's name for it is "partial small subunit ribosomal RNA". It matches the Rfam family "Eukaryotic small subunit ribosomal RNA", at positions 30 to 432 of the family's 1831-position model. Lineage: Eukaryota; Fungi. The record is from RNAcentral.